UAGGGGAUCUUCCACAAUGGGCGAAAGCCUGAUGGAGCAACGCCGCGUGUGUGAUGAAGGGUUUCGGCUCGUAAAACACUGUUGUAAGAGAAGAAUGACAUUGAGAGUAACUGUUCAAUGUGUGACGGUAUCUUACCAGAAAGGAACGGCUAAAUACGUGUCAG
RNAcentral lists this ribosomal RNA (164 nucleotides) under uncultured bacterium. RNAcentral describes it as "partial 16S rRNA". It matches the Rfam family "Bacterial small subunit ribosomal RNA", at positions 355 to 511 of the family's 1533-position model. The record is from RNAcentral.